CAGCCCCGCAUGUUAAGUUUGGAAAAACAAAUGAUGAAGGUUUCUGAUCAGUUCAAAGCCCUUGGUUCUGCUCUCCAGGGCCAAGCAGAACAAAUUUAGUGUCUCUUCAAAAUAACAAUGCUUCAAAUGCUUGAAGACAAAUUACAUGCCUUCCCUCAAGUCUUCUCCUCCCCAGACUAAAUAUUCAGGGAUUCAGAUCCCAUCCCCAUCAAGACUACCUUCUUCUACCUUCACUGGCUCCCUCACCAUGGCAUCAUUCAAAGGGCAACCUUUGAGGAGAUUCAACCUGGCAACUGCCUCUAGUUGUUCUCAACAUCAAAGUCCUUGGAAAUGUCAAAUGGAUAUGAUUUUAUUCAGGAGGAUAAUUAAAUCUGGUAACCUAAGAAAAUAAAUAUGAAGAAAGAAAAUUUUUGCAGAGAUGCAGAGAUUUUUAUCAAUGGAAAGAAAAGCUGUUGGCAUUCAUUCAUUCAACAAUCAAGGAAAUGAUUGUGUAAUAUUGGUCUCCUUAGGUCCCUGAGAAUUCUGGAUCUAUAGGUUCUUGCUACUUUUCCAAAGUUUAGAGUGGGCUGUUUGUAUAUCAUGACACAAGCCCUCAACGAGGCAGCAUUCUAUCUACGUUAGAAACAAGUCCAGUA
This is a long non-coding RNA of Vombatus ursinus (common wombat), 635 nucleotides long. RefSeq lists it as uncharacterized. The record is from RefSeq and is a predicted model, not a curated record. NCBI's taxonomy places the organism in Eukaryota, Metazoa, Chordata, Mammalia, Diprotodontia, Vombatidae. The transcript has 4 exons.